GGCCCUGGGUCCAAGCUCUGAACCACUACACCACCAUCUCCAACACCAUUGUCUUCACCAGCAAUUGUGCUCCUGGCUCUCUUACAAGCUCAAGCUAUUUUUUUUUAAGGCAAGUGCCUUAAUGUCAUUGGGUUUUUGUUUCCCAUCUCUAGGAUCAUAAGCCUGAAGCAGCUGGCACACGAGGAAUGUAAGCAGCAGCUGCCUGGGUGUCUGAAGCUCCUGAGCUCUGGGCCUGUACAGGCCGGCGGUUGCCAGCUCCCCUGCCAAGGGGGUGUGGUUCUGCGCUGACCCAUUUCUCAGGCUUCCCUGCUUUCCCAUUACCCUGUCUGAAAGCCCACAGCUGGGCCCCGAACACCAGCUUCUUCCUGUGCCUGAAGCCGCUGGGCGAGGGAAGGGAAAGAAGCCCGCACCAUUCAGGCUGACCUGCUCAUCCUCAUCUGAUCUCACCCUGCAAUUAUCCUGCAACUUACCCUGUUUUGCAAGUGAGAAAACUGAACCUCAGAGAGGCAGUGCGCCCACCGACUUAUCUUGCAACUGGAAAGGGCCUGUCUUACUCUAAAGUCGUCUCUGCCCACCUCACCCACACCCACCGACGUGCAUCGCAGCACCAUGCUUGCAUGGGUGUCACUACCCGUCCUGCUCACAGCGCAUGGCACAGGGCUGGAACUCAGGAACCAUUUAUUGUAUGGACGGAUGAACACACGCCCACACAUCUCCAUGAGUAAGGGAGCAUGGGAGCGGUGGAGUCACUGUGUCUGUCUCCUGCCUCUGGGUCAGUCACCUGUGAGGCGCAGGGGUGUGAGUCUCUUCUUGAAGGGACUUGCCGGAGCCGUACUUGUGCCACACUUGCUCAUUUCCCUGCUUUCCCCAGGAUCUAAACCACAUUCCCCUGGGACUCUCACACACCUGUCCUUUCGUGAGGACACUCUCCUGGUCAACCACAGGAAGAGGGAAAGGAGAGGUGCUCAAAGGAGGAAGUCACAUCUAUGGAAAACUCUAGUCUCCUAUCAAGGUUAAGCCCAGGGCACUCUUUCCUGUGGACACCUGUCAAAACACUUGCAAGUGUCUGUUUAUCUCUGUUUCCAUCUCAGUCUCCCAAGGGAUGGCAAAGGAAGGUCAGGGCAGCGUCUGAUCUCUCGAGGCCACCAGCUCUGGCCAGCCCAGAGCAGGCACACACAGGCUGCACGGGACGAGAUUACUUUCACGAUGACUGUGCUGCUCUUCCCAACCACAGCAACUGAUCUUCACACACAACCCUCUGAGGGAGGGGCUGUUAUCCCAUUUUAAAGUCGGGGAAACUGAGGUUCAAAUUUUCAAAGCCCUCUGCCCUGGCUCACACAGCUUGAAAGGGGAGAAGCUGGGUCUGAAUGAACACAUUCCUCUUGGUUCAUCCUCACAGCCACCUCAGAAGUAUGGAUUAGGGUCUUCAUUUAAAACGAGGUGCAGAGAGAUUGAGUAACAUGUCCAAAGUCACACAGCUGCGACUGUUCAUGAUUAGCUUGGAACCUAGCCCGAUUCCACGGCCUUGGGACAACACCAGGAGCACUGCCGAGGAGUUGGGAGUCAAAGCCAUUUGGGAACCUCUAGUUUCCUGCGGAAGCCCCGGCUUCCUGCUGGUGCCUGGCAGCCACCCAGGGCAGUCUGCUGGCUCCUCCCCUGCCUCCCCUGGGGCCCGGAGCUCCUCUCCUCGGCCAGGCUGAGGGACAAUCUGCCGGGAGCCUUUGGAUUUGGAACCCAGCGGCCAUCUUUCCUCAGCCUUCCCCCUUCCUCACCCUGCGGGCACUCUCAACUUUGGGGAGGGUUGGUGGGGACUGAGGUGGGAGGUGCCGAGGGAGAGACCUGAAAGGAGGGGUCUGCAGCCGCAGAGGGUGCUUAAGCGCUGGUGGGCCCUGUGCUGAGGUCUGGGGUCUGCGUGACUGAUAUGGGGACCAGACCCUUCUGGAUAGGUGCGGUCCACUGACCCCCGACCACAGCAGGUGGGAUGUAAAUUAGACUCUGUAAAGCAUGGGCUCUGGACACACGGCCUGGGAUGCAUAACAUGGAGGGUGUGGUCCUUGGACCUGGAUGCUGACAGGCUUCCUGCUGGGCCUGAUUAGGAGAGAACCCUCAGACACCGAGACUCAGAAGCCCUGGCUUCUCUAACGCCAUUCAUUCAUUCAGCUCAGAGGAAUACCACCCGGGGACCCGGAUGCAGCGGCUUCCACGCCUCCACCUCCACCUGGACAUCUGUCACUGCGGGGUGGGGGACAAUGGAGCCAUUUGCUGAGCUGCCAGAGGCUGCGUGGUGGAGCAGGUUGACCACCUGGGGCAUGAGGCUGACUUCACCCAGUUCAGGUUUCCCGGCCCAUCCAGCGGAGUGCAUUCCUGAGAGCACAGCUCUGGAAUCAACAACUGGCUGACUCCUGAGUCCCCAACUCAUGAUUUGUGUCCUUUUGGAAGUUUCUUAACCUCACUGGGCCUCAGUUUCUUCAUCUGUACACCGAGUGUAAAUAAUACU
Long non-coding RNA from Manis pentadactyla (Chinese pangolin), 2497 nucleotides. RefSeq lists it as uncharacterized. The record is from RefSeq and is a predicted model, not a curated record. The transcript has 3 exons. NCBI's taxonomy places the organism in Eukaryota, Metazoa, Chordata, Mammalia, Pholidota, Manidae.